CCAUCUUUAUUUACGUCUCUGUUGAAGGAGAAUUCUGCUGAGGACUGUCUCAACUAUCUUUAGAGAACUAAACAGAUCACCAUGUUUCCUACCACAGGAGUAUUCUUACUGACAGUCUAUCUAACAGGUGUUUAUGGUCAGACACUGACUGAGUCUGGACCAAUGGUUAAAAAGCCUGGAGAAUCACACAAACUGACCUGUACAGCCUCUGGGUUCACAUUCAGUGACCAUAGGAUGGCUUGGAUCAGACAGGCUCCUGGGAAAGGACUAGAGUGGAUUGCUUAUAUCAGCACAGCUAGUACACCCAUCUAUUACUCUCAGACAGUCCAGGGUAGAUUCACCAUCUCCAGAGAUGACUCCAGCAGUAAGAUGUACCUACAGAUGAACAGCCUGAAGAGUGAGGACACAGCAGUGUAUUACUGUGCCCGGUACACACAGUGAGAGAGAGUGGUGGGAGAGCUGUACAAAAACCACUUCCCCAUGGAACACAGACAAUCUCAUUUAUUUCUGAUGAAUGGUUUAAUAGCACCAGCUCAGCCAAACAAAACACACAUAGUGUAGAUAAUGUAUACAAUUAAUAAUAAUAAUGAUUAGGUGGGUGCUUAUAUUUGUCCUAUUUCACACAUGUUCAAGUGUGUAUUAUACACAUGUGUGAAUUGUAAAUGUAUUGUCUUGCAUAUCCCACUCCCCCGAGACACCCUCAGAGAGUGGAGUCAUAGUCAGCAUU
Molecule: non-coding RNA, 727 nt
Organism: Oncorhynchus gorbuscha (pink salmon)
Lineage: Eukaryota; Metazoa; Chordata; Actinopteri; Salmoniformes; Salmonidae
Source: the annotation of a RefSeq genome assembly